GUGGGGAAUCUUGCGCAAUGGGCGAAAGCCUGACGCAGCCAUGCCGCGUGGAUGAUGAAGGUCUUAGGAUUGUAAAAUCCUUUCACCGGUGAAGAUAAUGACUGUAGCCGGAGAAGAAGCCCCGGCUAACUUCGUGCCAGCAGCCGCGGUAAUACGAAGGGGGCUAGCGUUGCUCGGAUUUACUGGGCGUACAGGGCGCGUAGGCGGACAUUUAAGUCAGGGGUGAAAUCCCGGGGCUCAACCUCGGAACUGCCUUUGAUACUGGGUGUCUUGAGGAUGAGAGAGGUGUGUGGAACUCCGAGUGUAGAGGUGAAAUUCGUAGAUAUUCGGAAGAACACCAGUGGCGAAGGCGACACACUGGCUCAUUACUGACGCUGAGGCGCGAAAGCGUGGGGAGCAAACAGGAUUAGAAACCCCGGUAGUCC
RNAcentral lists this ribosomal RNA (425 nucleotides) under uncultured bacterium. RNAcentral's name for it is "partial 16S ribosomal RNA". It matches the Rfam family "Bacterial small subunit ribosomal RNA", at positions 354 to 796 of the family's 1533-position model. The record is from RNAcentral.